This 2771-nucleotide ribosomal RNA is filed under the name Klebsiella pneumoniae. RNAcentral describes it as "bacterial LSU rRNA". It matches the Rfam family "Bacterial large subunit ribosomal RNA". Lineage: Bacteria; Pseudomonadati; Pseudomonadota; Gammaproteobacteria; Enterobacterales; Enterobacteriaceae. The record is from RNAcentral.
AGCGUACACGGUGGAUGCCCUGGCAGUCAGAGGCGAUGAAGGACGUGCUAAUCUGCGAAAAGCGUCGGUAAGGUGAUAUGAACCGUUAUAACCGGCGAUGUCCGAAUGGGGAAACCCAGUGCAAUUCGUUGCACUAUCGUUAACUGAAUACAUAGGUUAACGAGGCGAACCGGGGGAACUGAAACAUCUAAGUACCCCGAGGAAAAGAAAUCAACCGAGAUUCCCCCAGUAGCGGCGAGCGAACGGGGAGCAGCCCAGAGUCUGAAUCAGCUUGUGUGUUAGUGGAACGGUCUGGAAAGUCCGACGGUACAGGGUGAUAGUCCCGUACACCAAAAUGCACAGGUUGUGAACUCGAAGAGUAGGGCGGGACACGUGGUAUCCUGUCUGAAUAUGGGGGGACCAUCCUCCAAGGCUAAAUACUCCUGACUGACCGAUAGUGAACCAGUACCGUGAGGGAAAGGCGAAAAGAACCCCGGCGAGGGGAGUGAAAAAGAACCUGAAACCGUGUACGUACAAGCAGUGGGAGCACCUUCGGGUGUGACUGCGUACCUUUUGUAUAAUGGGUCAGCGACUUAUAUUCUGUAGCAAGGUUAACCGUAUAGGGGAGCCGCAGGGAAACCGAGUCUUAACUGGGCGUUAAGUUGCAGGGUAUAGACCCGAAACCCGGUGAUCUAGCCAUGGGCAGGUUGAAGGUUGGGUAACACUAACUGGAGGACCGAACCGACUAAUGUUGAAAAAUUAGCGGAUGACUUGUGGCUGGGGGUGAAAGGCCAAUCAAACCGGGAGAUAGCUGGUUCUCCCCGAAAGCUAUUUAGGUAGCGCCUCGUGAAUUCAUCUUCGGGGGUAGAGCACUGUUUCGGCUAGGGGGUCAUCCCGACUUACCAACCCGAUGCAAACUACGAAUACCGAAGAAUGUUAUCACGGGAGACACACGGCGGGUGCUAACGUCCGUCGUGAAGAGGGAAACAACCCAGACCGCCAGCUAAGGUCCCAAAGUCAUGGUUAAGUGGGAAACGAUGUGGGAAGGCACAGACAGCCAGGAUGUUGGCUUAGAAGCAGCCAUCAUUUAAAGAAAGCGUAAUAGCUCACUGGUCGAGUCGGCCUGCGCGGAAGAUGUAACGGGGCUAAACCAUGCACCGAAGCUGCGGCAGCGACACUAUGUGUUGUUGGGUAGGGGAGCGUUCUGUAAGCCUGCGAAGGUGUGCUGUGAGGCAUGCUGGAGGUAUCAGAAGUGCGAAUGCUGACAUAAGUAACGAUAAAGCGGGUGAAAAGCCCGCUCGCCGGAAGACCAAGGGUUCCUGUCCAACGUUAAUCGGGGCAGGGUGAGUCGACCCCUAAGGCGAGGCCGAAAGGCGUAGUCGAUGGGAAACAGGUUAAUAUUCCUGUACUUGGUGUUACUGCGAAGGGGGGACGGAGAAGGCUAUGUUAGCCGGGCGACGGUUGUCCCGGUUUAAGCAUGUAGGCUGGUUAUCCAGGCAAAUCCGGAUAAUCAAGGCUGAGGUGUGAUGACGAGGCACUACGGUGCUGAAGUAACAAAUGCCCUGCUUCCAGGAAAAGCCUCUAAGCAUCAGGUAACAUCAAAUCGUACCCCAAACCGACACAGGUGGUCAGGUAGAGAAUACCAAGGCGCUUGAGAGAACUCGGGUGAAGGAACUAGGCAAAAUGGUGCCGUAACUUCGGGAGAAGGCACGCUGGUGUGUAGGUGAAGCCCCUGCGGGUGGAGCUGAGACCAGUCGAAGAUACCAGCUGGCUGCAACUGUUUAUUAAAAACACAGCACUGUGCAAACACGAAAGUGGACGUAUACGGUGUGACGCCUGCCCGGUGCCGGAAGGUUAAUUGAUGGGGUUAUCCGUAAGGAGAAGCUCUUGAUCGAAGCCCCGGUAAACGGCGGCCGUAACUAUAACGGUCCUAAGGUAGCGAAAUUCCUUGUCGGGUAAGUUCCGACCUGCACGAAUGGCGUAAUGAUGGCCAGGCUGUCUCCACCCGAGACUCAGUGAAAUUGAACUCGCUGUGAAGAUGCAGUGUACCCGCGGCAAGACGGAAAGACCCCGUGAACCUUUACUAUAGCUUGACACUGAACAUUGAGCCUUGAUGUGUAGGAUAGGUGGGAGGCUUUGAAGCGUGGACGCCAGUCUGCGUGGAGCCAACCUUGAAAUACCACCCUUUAAUGUUUGAUGUUCUAACGUUGGCCCCUUACCGGGGUUGCGGACAGUGUCUGGUGGGUAGUUUGACUGGGGCGGUCUCCUCCCAAAGCGUAACGGAGGAGCACGAAGGUUAGCUAAUCCUGGUCGGACAUCAGGAGGUUAGUGCAAUGGCAUAAGCUAGCUUGACUGCGAGCGUGACGGCGCGAGCAGGUGCGAAAGCAGGUCAUAGUGAUCCGGUGGUUCUGAAUGGAAGGGCCAUCGCUCAACGGAUAAAAGGUACUCCGGGGAUAACAGGCUGAUACCGCCCAAGAGUUCAUAUCGACGGCGGUGUUUGGCACCUCGAUGUCGGCUCAUCACAUCCUGGGGCUGAAGUAGGUCCCAAGGGUAUGGCUGUUCGCCAUUUAAAGUGGUACGCGAGCUGGGUUUAGAACGUCGUGAGACAGUUCGGUCCCUAUCUGCCGUGGGCGCUGGAGAAUUGAGGGGGGCUGCUCCUAGUACGAGAGGACCGGAGUGGACGCAUCACUGGUGUUCGGGUUGUCAUGCCAAUGGCACUGCCCGGUAGCUAAAUGCGGAAGAGAUAAGUGCUGAAAGCAUCUAAGCACGAAACUUGCCCCGAGAUGAGUUCU